AGAGUUUGAUCAUGGCUCAGAGUGAACGCUGGCGGCAGGCCUAACACAUGCAAGUCGAACGGCAGCACAGGGGAGCUUGCUCCCCGGGUGGCGAGUGGCGGACGGGUGAGGAAUACAUCGGAAUCUGCCCAGUCGUGGGGGAUAACCUCGGGAAACCGGGACUAAUACCGCAUACGACCUUCGGGUGAAAGCAGGGGAUCGCAAGACCUUGCGCGAUUGGAUGAGCCGAUGUCGGAUUAGCUAGUUGGCGGGGUAAAGGCCCACCAAGGCGACGAUCCGUAGCUGGUCUGAGAGGAUGAUCAGCCACACUGGAACUGAGACACGGUCCAGACUCCUACGGGAGGCAGCAGUGGGGAAUAUUGGACAAUGGGCGCAAGCCUGAUCCAGCCAUGCCGCGUGAGUGAAGAAGGCCUUCGGGUUGUAAAGCUCUUUUGUCCGGAAAGAAAAGCUUUCGGUUAAUACCCGGAAGUCCUGACGGUACCGGAAGAAUAAGCACCGGCUAACUUCGUGCCAGCAGCCGCGGUAAUACGAAGGGUGCAAGCGUUACUCGGAAUUACUGGGCGUAAAGCGUGCGUAGGUGGUUCGUUAAGUCUGAUGUGAAAGCCCUGGGCUCAACCUGGGAAUUGCAUUGGAUACUGGCGGGCUAGAGUGCGGUAGAGGAUGGCGGAAUUCCCGGUGUAGCAGUGAAAUGCGUAGAGAU
RNAcentral lists this ribosomal RNA (700 nucleotides) under uncultured bacterium. RNAcentral's name for it is "bacterial SSU rRNA". It matches the Rfam family "Bacterial small subunit ribosomal RNA", at positions 8 to 697 of the family's 1533-position model. The record is from RNAcentral.